This is a long non-coding RNA of Myotis davidii, 1052 nucleotides long. RefSeq lists it as uncharacterized. Lineage: Eukaryota; Metazoa; Chordata; Mammalia; Chiroptera; Vespertilionidae. The record is from RefSeq and is a predicted model, not a curated record. The transcript has 2 exons.
GUGCAUGUACUCUCUGGAACCCAGUUUCCUAAUCUGCAAUGAGAAAGGAAAUAGAAGUCGUGAAGUCUGAGACGUUACUGGGAACGUUACCUGAGAACUCGGGGGAGCGCUUAGCUCAGCACCUGCUGCCCAGUGUCUGAGACUAUUGCCAUCUCUGUCUUUAUCAAUGGGCCCCGGACCCAAUUCUGAGGUCUUGGAUAGACGCCCUUUCUUCCUUCCCCAGCCUGCUCUUCGCCCUCCCCUUUCCCUCCUAACAGACUGUGAUAAAAAUCUGGUCCCUCAUGUCUGUGGAGUAUUUUUAAGCUAGAAAGAGCAUCUGGUGUUUUCUGCGUGUUCUCACCUCCCCUUCCUCCCCUCCCCGCCCCCUUCCUUUCUAUAUUUGACCUAAAUAGGACCACUCACCCUACUACAGAGAGAACAUCCAUUCUGUGCCAGAGGAAGAGACUUCCACGGCCCACCUGGUGCUGCUGGACCCACAGUAACUCUACAUACACCAGUCUUUGCAGCAUGGCGACGGACGUGUGGUCUUGACUUACAAGUCUCAGGAGAAAGGUAACUGCCUUUACCUGGGCCUCUGUCGGAGUAGCCGCGUGCCACUUCCUGGAGCUAUUGCUGGUCCCUAAGAUGGCCCACCGGGCUCCCUCCAGCCUCAAGCACCAGGGUAAAGGACACCAACGGAUCUCACUGUUCCAGAUGAUGCAGCAGAAAAGCACAUCAAAGCCAUGGGAGUGAGACAAGGCCAAAUCACUCAUUCUGCAAAGAGCCAUCGAGCAGAGCAGCUGCUUUGCCCAGCCUGCGCGGCAUGGUCCUGCGCAGCCCACAGCCCCUGGAACACAGGGGUUUUAUUGGGGGGAACUUGCUGCACAUCCUAGCUAAUAGUUAUUCGGUGCUCAGUAGAUGCCAAGUGUGUUAUAAGCACAAUGAGCAAGCCCAAGACAGAUAAGAUCUUUGUCCUCGUGUAGCUUGUUUUAUUAAAAUGGUUCUUCUGCACAUACUUUCCUCUGCUUUUUUUAAAGGCAUAAUUUGCAUUAAAAUUCAUCUUUUUAAAUGUA